This is a long non-coding RNA of Agrilus planipennis (emerald ash borer), 1065 nucleotides long. RefSeq lists it as uncharacterized. The transcript is spliced from 3 exons. The record is from RefSeq and is a predicted model, not a curated record. Lineage: Eukaryota; Metazoa; Arthropoda; Insecta; Coleoptera; Buprestidae.
GCCGUGCACAACGGUUUCGCUAGUACGGACCCGUCGUCUUUGCUGGCCUUAACCAUUUCCCGUGUGAUGUCGCCAGUCAAUUCGCAUAGUACCGUAUUUUCUAGUGCGAACGAGCAGUUGUGAAGGUCACGAGUAGGUACUUGUGCUUCGUCAUUUGAUACUUGCGAUAACGAAGAAUAAUGUAGUAUACAAGACAACAGAAAUGCACAUAACAUAAUUACAAAACAGUUUUUACUGACAAUAAAUGAUUGACAGUCGAAUCUCCCGUAAGUCGAAUAUCUGUAACUCCAAAUAUUUCUUAGUUUGAAUAUUUUUUGUUCCCUUGGAAUACAUAGGCAUAUUCAAAAUGUUCUCGAGUGUCUCUGGAAUGCCCUUAGCUAGAGUGUACUAGAAUAAACUGGAAGAGUCGAGAACCUUUAUGUAUUAGUGGUAAGAAUGACUUUGACCGCCGUAUUAGACUAUCUUAUACAUCUAAAAAAAAAGGGCUUUCUGGCCGUUGUUUUUGGAAAUUAUUUUGCGACGUUUCACGUACAACUGCUGCAGGCAUUUUCAGGGUUACGUUGCUGCCCCUCUUGGUCAUACUUGCCUUGCUAGCACUAUACAGCCGUAGGGCGGUGCGAGCGGUGUCACCACACAAGAUGCCAACAUAGCGAGAGCGUCAAAAUCCAUUAAACCACAACACCAGCCACCGUCCCAGCGACGCCAAUGGAAAUUUUCCGAAUUCCCUGAAAACCUACGAAAUAAUUCCUAAAUUUAAGAGAAAUUAACCACCUAUUUAUUCCCUACAAAUUUCCCACACAAUAGUCUCAAGAAAAGAGAACUACGUGGGGCAUAAUCCCAAGAAUGUAAUUGUAUAGACAGAACAUUAUCCAAUGUUUUGUAUUAAGAGGGGCGUCAUUUUAAAGGGAUAUAUAUACAAGGGCAAAAAAUUAGUAUGCUUAGAUUUGCAGAUGAUAUAGCAGUAUUAGCAUCUAGCAGGAAGGAGUUAGAGAGAUUUAACUUAAUUUAGAGAGCUUUAAAUAAAAUAGCAGCGAUAUUGACAAAACAGUACUGCAUGAAAAUAAA